ACUCGAGUGGCGAACGGGUGAGUAACACGUGGGUGAUCUGCCCUGCACUUCGGGAUAAGCCUGGGAAACUGGGUCUAAUACCGGAUAGGACGAUGGUUUGGAUGCCAUUGUGGAAAGUUUUUCGGUGUGGAGUGAGCUCGUGGCCUAUCAGCUUGUUGGUGGGGUAAUGGCCUACCAAGGCGUCGACGGGUAGCCGGCCUGAGAGGGUGUACGGCCACAUUGGGACUGAGAUACGGCCCAG
Molecule: ribosomal RNA, 241 nt
Filed under: uncultured Actinomycetales bacterium
Lineage: Bacteria; Bacillati; Actinomycetota; Actinomycetes; Actinomycetales
Description: partial 16S ribosomal RNA
Rfam family: Bacterial small subunit ribosomal RNA
Source: RNAcentral